GAAGAAGCAUAUAUUCCAGUGUGCUUACGUUCAAGGUCGUGUUAUAGGGACUAUCUUCCCUGCUCCUUGCAAGAACCUCGAUCUAUAUGACGAACAAGGACAUCUGAUCAGACGUUCUGAUGCUCAAAACGCAACAGACAUAGAUUAUGACAUUUGAACUGAUUCCACGGAAUGCCUUCAUAGCGGGAGCUUAGUGCACCGGGCAGUGUUUUAUUUUAUUUUCUCAUUACAUUUUGUUCUCUGCAUUAUACAUACAGAACCAAGUCCCUUUUGAUGUAUUCAAAAAACCCACAGAUCCAAUGUAAAGAACACUUCCUUUGUUC
RNAcentral lists this unclassified non-coding RNA (323 nucleotides) under Hevea brasiliensis (rubber tree). Lineage: Eukaryota; Viridiplantae; Streptophyta; Magnoliopsida; Malpighiales; Euphorbiaceae. The record is from RNAcentral.